Chiroxiphia lanceolata (lance-tailed manakin) is the source of this 4363-nucleotide long non-coding RNA. RefSeq lists it as uncharacterized. The record is from RefSeq and is a predicted model, not a curated record. The transcript has 5 exons. Lineage: Eukaryota; Metazoa; Chordata; Aves; Passeriformes; Pipridae.
CGGGGCCGGCGGAGCCACUGCCACCGGCAGAAGUUGGCGACAAACGUGUGGUCGCCGUGGCUGCAGCCGCGGUUUUCUUUCUAUUUCUGCUGCAGCUUCCUGUCCUUGACCCAGCGAUACAUUGUGAAGUUCUCCGGAGUCAAUGAAUCCUGGUAAAAUGCAGUAAAGGAUUUAAGGUUAUCGUCUGUCUCUCUCUAACUUCUGACAUCUCUUUAUAACAAGAAAGAGUCACAGCCAACUGUAACAGGAGGGCAACACAAUGAAUCCUGGUGUCAAAGACCAUCUGGAUCCGUCAGUUAUGCCUAGUUGUGCCUGAUGUCUUACUGUUGAAAGAAAUGGGGUGCAGCAGCAGAGGCCAGCAAAGUAAAGGUGCCUACACAGUGCUGUUUGCAAAGCAGGGUGUUUUAUGAGAGCAUGGAACUGCACGUCACAGCACCUUUUCUCCAUGGGUUGAGACUGUUGUAACACUCCAAACUUCUGCUACCCACAUACCCUCCACUGCAGUAAUUCUUUGGUACUGUGGAGAGUCAGUCACACAGUGCUGAUCAGAUCAUGUGCCACCUGUUAUGUCCACUAGUAUAUGGGAAUAUAGCAAGGAAAAGAGAAUAACAAAGCUUUAGUGGUGUGGUGUCCCUCACAGUCAGUGUAGUAAGUUAGAACAAACUGCAAAAACUCAAAGCUAUUUUCCUCAGCAGGUCAGCAUUCAGGGAGACCCAGAGCACAGGGAGAGUUACUGCCACCAUUCCCCCCCUUCCCCAGACUGGCAUUCUGGCCAAAGUUAAUGAUUCAUAAGAUUCUGCACUGAUUUCACUGUGAGCUUCCACAUUUGCAUAAGUAAAAGCUUCUGCAGCUUCUGUAGGGAAAUUCUUAGUGAAAUUGCAGCACAAAACAUUGAUAUUAUGUAAUUAUAGUAGUUCAUUGUAACUUAAAUGAAAUUGUUACUUUAAACUUGCUCUAAGUGGCUCACAAUGGAACUUUGUAUGACACACCUACAAAACAAAUGAGUUAAUCACAAUAUGUGUAAUUUUUAAUUUUUCUCUUUCAUUUUUCUUUCAGUCAUUCUCUCUUUGUAAUUAGCAUGAAGACUACCCUUCAGUCAAAACUAGCCACCUGGAAAGUUUCAGCUUGUAAUAUGCAGCUUUUUUUGUGAAUUAUGAAUGUGCUAAAGAAGAGACCUUUCUCCCCACACCCACUUCCUUGCAUAAUUCAAAUAUGAAUGAAUGAAUUUUAUUCAGGCUUGCCAAAAAAAUCAUAUUUCAGCUGAUAACAAGCAUGAAAAAUUUCACAUGAAAGGGAUUUUUUUUUUUAAAGAAUAUUCCGAGCAUGGGAGAACAGCAGGUUAAGACAGAAGUCUUAGUGCAGCCUUAAAUAUAACAUUGUUAGCAAGCAAAUACUAUAUCCAAGCACUAAAUUUUGCUUUGUACUGCCCUGGUGCACAGUAGUGGGGACAGAACAGAAUAAUAAAAGCUGAUCCCCUUAUGCAAACAGCAGAGCACAGCACUUGACAGAAUACAAGAAGAAGGUGAGCCUGCCUACUGUUCUGGCUUGCUAACCAUAUUGCUAAGGUCUGUGAGUUAGUUGUCACCUAUAGCUCCAGUCAGCUGGCAAAUGUAGUUCAAACACUAGCAAGGGGCAUGUUUUUGGUCCUUUCCAGAAGAACGUUUUACCAGUUCCUUGCCUCCAAAUAUACAGUCCUAUUAAAUAAAGUAUUUGAAGGAAGUUCAUAUAGGUAACAUGAUGGUUUAACAGGUCAAAAAGGGAAUGGAAUAGUGCUAGGUUUUUUUCUGAUUAACUGUGUAUUUUGAAAAAUAUGUAUCUGUAAAGAAGGUAUUAUCUGCAUCCCUCACUUACCUUAAUGCUUUUCAGACAAAGCAGAAUGAGAUUUUGGCUGGUGCCGGUACCACUUUGAAAAUAAACUAUUACAGGAAAGAAAAGUUGCAAUCUGGAACGCAUUUCUGCAUUGCAUUUUCUUUUGUUCCUAAUAGUGGUUUGGGGAUAAGCCCUGCUCUCCUUUCUACCCAAAAAACAGGACUAAAAAAACCGUACUAAGCAUUUAUUAAAAAAACCACCCAUUGCAGUGGCUAAACAGUAGCGAAUACUUCAGUAUUACUUUACAGAUUCCCAUCGAUUGGAGGAUCAACAGAAGGGAUUUGCAGAUGGCAAGCAAAAAAUACCCUUCUAGUCUGAUGUGAGUUGACUGUUGUAAGUUGAGCUUGGCAGCAAGUGACCAAAAUUGAGUUGUCAGCAUCCUCCUGCGUAGUGGAAGAAGUUGUUGCUUUCUUGUGCAGAUGCAAGAGUUUCUGUGGGAAAACAGAACAUAAUCACGGUUAUGAAUGUCUCUGUGGAUUGGUAAUGUCUCUAAUACAUAGAUCACUUUUGCAAAUUCAGUCCCAGCUGGAUGGGAAAUUAUUGAAAAUGGUUGUUGUUUGAUUGAUAUAAAAUGAGUUGUCAGCUUGAUUCAAUACCUCCAGGGCAGAUGUCCACAGCAUAAUUGGCACCUGUCAGAAGCAAAGAAUUCCUUGGUACAGAGUAACAACUACUCAUGCAACCACCCAAAACAGCCCUUGCAUGCCAGGGCUCAGAGAAGAAGGCAGGAAAAAACAAUUUCUACUUCUGGGAAGGAUCUUUUAUGCCAUAAAGUCAAUAAGAGAUUUGACGUGACGGUGCAAGCCUUUCCCUCAGAUCUUGGCUAGACACUCUCAGCUUCCUGCUGUUUGGUCAACACUCCCCCUAAGAAUUAGAAGAAAACACACACAUUUGAUUAUUUUAUUAUAAUUUCCACUGUAAAAGUGUAUUUAUUAAGAAGAGUCAAUAAAGAAAUUUUUACAUGCUUGCUUAUUAUAAAAAACGCUGUGAACAAUUUUAUUUUCCCAUUUCCUGAGCCAUUCUCCACACAGCAAUAACUUAGCCAUACAACUAGGAAAUAAGAGAGUGUCUUCUUAGCCAAAAAUAAGGCAAAGAAACAGCCAGGACUGACAGUACAUCGGCAUCAGUAUUACACUGUUUGCUAAUAGUAAACACUGACCUCUUGUUUACCACAGUGGAUUAAAAUGGUGGGUUUUUUUCUAUAAGUCUCCAAAUAGCUGUCAUAUGGUUAUUACUGCCUUUGACCAAAUGCAGUACAGCUAACAACAGGAAUUAAUUCAAUUUCCCAUCACCAAUCUGUUGAGCUGGCCACCUUCUUCAUGGAGCUGGUGCUUUGGGAGGUACUAACUGAAGGACUUUCCACUAAAACUGAUUUUACUGUCUUCAUCUAGUGCAUGGCUCAACUUUCCUUCUUUCCUUUCAUCUCUCUUUCCUCCUUUAGAUUACUUUUCAUUAUGCCUCCCCCCCAACAUACCCACACUUUGCCUUUCAUCUCUAUACAUAUGCUAUUCCAGCACUUGUCAGGCCCAGCAGGAGGCACAUGGGAGAACCAAACAAUAUGAGAUGUUAGGUGGAAGAAAAUAUUAUUAUCAGACACCUUAAAACAAUCAUUUAUUGUCAAACUUUAAAGAGGUCUGCUUUGUUAUUUAUUUUAUUAUUCUGUAUUAGGUACAUGGUUUAGUUUUACAGGCAUUAUUAAUCACUAAAAUACAUUACACUUUCAGCCAGGAUGUUAACAUUUUAAAUGCAUUCAUCUUGCUUCUUUAAACAGAAACAAUGGGCCUUCUGCACUGCCCUCCCUCCCCUCUAGUCAAUAAAUCCUUUCUAUUGAUUCAGGAAAUAACUCUUAAGCCCUGUUUUAUAUUUUAAGUUCCAGUAGCCACACUCAGCCAUAUAAUUUUGCUUAAUAACAAAUGGAUCUUCUAUUUUUGCUGCUUACUAUGUGUUUGGUUAUAAAACUCAGCUUGAAAGUACUAGGUAGAAGGGGACAAAACCUAUAAUGGCUGUGAGUCACCACAAGAGAUUUCUUAAAUGCAUGUUACAAUAAAAUAAGUAUCUGUGAAAAGUCUGUCUCUGUGUGUGUGUGUAUAAAAAGCAGCCUCAUCAGUAGAUGAAUGAUAAAUGAAAAAAUCCAUCAGUGAACAUGGAUUCCCUUGAGUCAGCCUGGAUCAACAGACAAUAUGGAUUUUUGAUAAUUCAUGGCUUUGCCAUUAUUUAUUCUCUCCUGAAAUACCCACUGCAAAUCUCAGAAAGAUAAUUACAGAAUUAUCAUAUUGCUUAACUAAGUAGUGCAAAUUGUAUUAUAUUCUAUUCUAUGUAUCCCAACCCUGGGCAGUAUCAUUAGUGUUGUUUAAUUGUUACAAAUACAGUCAUCGCAUUUUAAUAAAUUGCCUUCGUUGUCAAUAUCCUCAAUCGACUUCUCCUCCUAAUGUUCAUGGAUAGGUUAGUUACCAGGUAAUCUUACAGUAAAUAUAUAGCACAAUGAAGCAAAAAUGUA